RNAcentral lists this ribosomal RNA (472 nucleotides) under uncultured bacterium. RNAcentral's name for it is "partial 16S ribosomal RNA". It matches the Rfam family "Bacterial small subunit ribosomal RNA", at positions 28 to 507 of the family's 1533-position model. The record is from RNAcentral.
GACGAACGCUGGCGGCGUGCUUAACACAUGCAAGUCGAACGCUGAAGCUUGGUGCUUGCACUGGGUGGAUGAGUGGCGCACGGGUGAGUAAUACGUGAGUAACCUGCCCUUGACUCUGGGAUAAGCCUGGGAAACUGGGUCUAAUACUGGAUAUGACAUGCCACUGCAUGGUGGUGUGUGGAAAGGGUUUUACUGGUUUUGGAUGGGCUCACGGCCUAUCAGCUUGUUGGUGAGGUAAUGGCCUACCAAGGCGACGACGGGUAGCCGGCCUGAGAGGGUGACCGGCCACACUGGGACUGAGACACGGCCCAGACUCCUACGGGAGGCAGCAGUGGGGAAUAUUGCACAAUGGGCGGAAGCCUGAUGCAGCGACGCCGCGUGAGGGAUGACGGCCUUCGGGUUGUAAACCUCUUUCAGCACGGAAGAAGCGAGAGUGACGGUACGUGCAGAAGAAGCGCCGGCUAACUACGUG